Molecule: long non-coding RNA, 840 nt
Organism: Ictalurus punctatus (channel catfish)
Lineage: Eukaryota; Metazoa; Chordata; Actinopteri; Siluriformes; Ictaluridae
Source: Ensembl
GUUUGGGGUGCUGUGGACUUCCAGUUCAUCCCAAAGGUGCUCCGUGGAGUUGAGGUCAGAGCUCUGUCCUGCAUUCAAGUUCUUCCACUCCAAACUUGACAAACCAGGUCUUCAUGGAGCUCGUUUGUGCACAGGAGCGUUGUCAUGCUGGAAAAGUUUCAGGAGGAUCCAGACAUUUCUAUCCACAGAGGCACUUGUUCAGUCCUUUGUCUUCUCAAGACUGGACUAAUGGAACUCACUCCUGGAAGGUGUCCCCAUGCAUUCCAUCUGACCCCUGCGACUGAUCCAAAAUGCAGCUCCAUGACUUGUUUUCUCCCAAGUUCUCCUACCUCACCCCUUUGCUGCUUUCCAUCCACUGGCUUCGCCUGUUCUCCCACCUCAUCCCUUUGCUGAUUUCCAUCCAUUGGCUUUCCCACAACAGAUUUAAAACACUGAUGGCAAAGCGGAAAAUGGCCCCCGAUCUACCUGCAGGCACUUAUGUGGAAGGCACAGUGGAACUCACUUCUGGAAGGUGUCCUCGUGCAUUCCAUCUGACCCCUGCGACUGAUCCAAAAUGCAGCUGCAUGACUUGUUUUCUCCCAAGUUCUCCAAUCUCACCCCAUUACUGCUUUCCAUCAACUGGCUUCUCCUGUUCUCCCACCUAUAACACCUAUGUGUUUUAAAUCACAUCAGAUUUAAAACACUGAUGGCAAUGUGGAAAAUGGCCCCCCAUCUACCUGAAGGCACUUAUGUGGAAGGCACAGCACCAUGUUGCCUUUGAGCCUCAGACAUGGCUUGACUCACCCUUCCACCCCUUGAGACACAAGGACAACGUGCGUCAUAACCCGACUCUGUCCUGGC